ACCGUCGUUGGUUCCGGGCUUUCAUAUCCCUUCUCUUUGCUGGCUCUUCCAGUACCCCCUGCAACAGGGCCCUUUGAUCUGCUCCUGCAUUUUUCUUUUCUUUUCUUUCUUUUUUUCUUCUUUUGAGACAGUCUCGCUCUGUCGCCCAGGCUGGAGUGCAAUAGCACGAUCUUGCAACCUCUGCCUCCUGGGUUCAAGCGAUUCUCCUGUCUCAGCCUCACGAGUAGCUGCAGCACCAUACCCGGCUAAUUUUUGUUUUGUUUUGUUUUGUUGAGACGGAGUCUCGUUCUGUCGCCCAGGCCGGAGUGCAGUGGCACGAUCUCAGCUCACUGCAACCUUCACCUCCUGGGUUCAAGCGAUUCUCCUGCCUCAGCCUCCUGAGUAGCUGGGAUUACAGGCGCACACCACCAUGCCCAGCUAAUUUUUGUAUUUUUAAUAGACGGGGUUUCACCAUAUUGGUCAGGCUGGUCUUGAACUCCUGCCCACCUCGGCGUCCCAAAGUGUUGGGAUUACAGGCGUGAGCCACCACGCCCGGCCAUUUUUUAAUUUUUAAUAGAGAUGAAGGUUUCACCAUGUUGGCCAGGCUGGUCUUGAACUCCUGACUUCAAGUAAUCUGCUCGCUUCAGCCUCCCAAAUUGUUGGGAUUACAGGCGUGAGCCACUGUACCCUGCCUUCUUUUCUUUUUUUGAUAUAGGGUCUCGCUCUGUCACCCAGCCUGGAGUGCAGUGGGGUGAUCGUGGCUCAUUGCAGCCUCAAACUCCUGGGCUCAAGCAAUCCUCCUGUCUCAGCCUCCCAAAGUGCUAGGAUUACAGGUGCAGAGCACCAUGCCUUGCCUGCUCCUGAAUUUCAGCAGACCCUCAGCAUGCCUCCUUCCCUGGCAGCAGCAGGGUCUUUUGGAAGUGCCAACCUGGCCCAGCACCCUCCUGUCCUCAGGGCCUGGCCACAGCAGGCAUUCAGAAGACAUUGUGGCCCCAACCCCACACACACCGGAUCAGUUCUAGGGUUGGGACAGGGCCCAUCAGCCAAGCAGGUGGGUCCCAGAGGAGCUGGGAGACUUGGAGAGGGGGCUGCGCUACCCAGUGGAGCUGAGUCGCUCUAAUGAAGUGGACUAGCUGCAGGCCACAUUGAUUUCACGUCUCUGUGGCCACGUCCCAGCUGGUAAAUGUCACUGGAGAGUGCAGCCGUGGCACCUGGCAUGGGUCCAGUAGUGAGUGGGAGCUGGCAGGUUGCCAGAGGGGCCGGGGAUGCCCAUGAAAUGCUGAUACCAGUCCAGGGUCUCCAGCGCCUCCAGACGCUCCCGCCAAUCCCUGAAGAGGGGCUGUACCCAGUCGGCUGAAGCUGUCACCCCCCUGGGGAUAUCUGCAACCACCAGCCCCUCUCCUGCUAUCAACAUACAAUGGACUGACGCCAGUUGCUGGGAGGGUUGCCCCUUUCUUUUUGUGGUGGCAGUUUAGGGUGGUCUAGAGAUGGGCCCAGCAGCCCAGGGCCCAGGAGUCAAGGCGCAGCCGUGUGAGGACCCCUCCUGGCCCACCGCCCUACCAACCCUGAGCUGUCUCCUUUGAUAACUGGCUCAGGACAAGCUAAGAGUAAGCAGCCAUAACCACACAGUGGCAGGCCUGGUUUAAUAAACUCUCACUGCAGCCAGUACUGGCUCAGAACCGGUCCCUGUGAUCUCAUUCAACCCCACGGCAAUCCUGUUGUGGAUUCUGAAUGCACUCCAUUGUUCAGGAGGGGAACGUGAGGCUGAGAGGCCAAGUCCUCAACUCUGAGCAGCACUGGGGGGCCCGGACACCCCCAUCCCGAGUUCAUCCACGGCCCUCAUGGGACCCCUUCUCUGUUCCAGCUCCCCACCCCCAUCUGCCCUGCACCUUUCUCCCCUUCGCCAUCUCAUGGGAUGGUGGGG
Long non-coding RNA from Macaca mulatta (Rhesus monkey), 1903 nucleotides. NCBI's taxonomy places the organism in Eukaryota, Metazoa, Chordata, Mammalia, Primates, Cercopithecidae. The record is from Ensembl.